This 253-nucleotide ribosomal RNA is filed under the name uncultured bacterium. Its description in RNAcentral is "partial 16S ribosomal RNA". It matches the Rfam family "Bacterial small subunit ribosomal RNA", at positions 524 to 776 of the family's 1533-position model. The record is from RNAcentral.
UAGGUAGGGUGCAAGCGUUAAUCGGAAUUACGGGGCGUAAAGCGUGCGCAGGCGGUGCUGUAAGACAGGCGUGAAAUCCCCGGGCUUAACCUGGGAAUGGCGCUUGUGACUGCAGUGCUGGAGUGCGGCAGAGGGGGAUGGAAUUCCGCGUGUAGCAGUGAAAUGCGUAGAUAUGCGGAGGAACACCGAUGGCGAAGGCAAUCCCCUGGGCCUGCAAUGACCCUCAUGCACGAAAGCGUGGGGAGAAAACAGG